UCCAUGUCUCCACUGACAUCCUGAGCCAUGGGACUGCAGAGGGAAACAGCCUUGGAGGACCUUGGGCAUAUGUUGAGAGCAACCUGCCGCACACUGAGCCACGGUGACCUUUUGCGUGCUGCGGCUGAGGCGCUGCUUUGCACGGCGCAAGAUACACAACAACAACAAUACCUCAGGCUGAAUUUAGGAAAUUCGAUUUUCAAGCUGGCUGUUUUCUCUAUCAAGGCUUGGAAAGACUCGAUAGCUCCUAAGGGCAUGUGAAACCAAACUCACCACCCUGAUUCUUAAAAUCCUCAGAAGGUCAACAUUCAGCAAUGCAAAGCACCUGGGCAAAGUUUUGUGUAAUUUUCCAGUGACCUUGAUUAUGCAAUUGGGUAUGGCUGCUGCCCUAGACGACAUCAAAGAUGCCACUCUCAUCAGGUGGCAGGCAGCCCUAGCCAGGGAAGUUUCAGAGCUGCCAGUCACAAAACACACAGAGGCAUCAUCAGUUAGACGAUGAUUUACUGCAAAUCAACUGGAUUAUUUAUUUUCCCUUUCAAACAAGGAGAGGAAGGUCCCAAUCCAGAAACAGCACGUGCAAUUGCUCCAGCCAGGAGCUCAAACCCCACUGAAGAGAAAGGGUUAAAUUCAGCCCCCUUUGAAGUCAGCGAGGGCAGCCCUUCAUCUGCACAGGGCCAGCUCUUCCUCCCAGCACCAAGCGCUUUGAUGAAUCCGCACCGUAACGCCCAAACGAGGUGCAAAGCAACAUCCACGACUCCAGGGUCCCUCCCUGAUGCCGACACAAGGCUUUGGAGCCAGGCUGGAGCCGGGGCUGGGACACUGCCCUUCCACCCUUUCUUCCAGAAACGUCAGGAAUAUCAGGCACCAUCACAGCCCAUACCAUUUCAACUGUCCUGAGACAGAGGGAAAAAAAAUGCUGAGUAAGCCACCAAAAAUUUGAAAGAGUGCGGCCUAGCACUCCCCGAGAGCCGUACCCCGCUGCACAGACACCAGUGCCAGCAGCGCCUCGUGCUCUGGCUGCGCUUCAAGGUGAAACCCAAAAGUGGCCACAGCGGCCUUGGUGCCACUGGGUCGGAAACCAUUUCUGCUCUCCACUGUUUGUCUGAACUUUGGCUGCAGGCAGCCCAGCCUUCCUGCGCACACAGCUCCUGCUGCCACACACGGUCCUGCUGACACGGCUGAGGGGCAGGGCUGUGUCACCUGCUGUCAGCUCUGCAGGGACAUCCUUGAGAGCACGGCCGCUCCCUUCCCCUUGGAUUGCAUGCAGGAAGCUGACAGCUGCCGAGGCGGCAAGAAGUGAGUCCUCUUUGGAGAGAUGCUGUCGGGUUCAGCACCUCUGUGGAGCAUUGCUGGAAUGCAAAGCAUCUGGAGCAGAUGUGGAAACGUGAUAAGGAUCCUUGCUGUCCUUAAAAACACUAUGAAGUGGCCGGGUAGGGAUUCCCCUGGCAAAGGGAGAUUCCCCACCUGGCACCAAGCAGAUCUCAGUUGCCAGUGAGGCUCUGGGACCACCACAGGCAGCCCACCCUCAGGUCCCUGAGGAGAUCUCUGCUGUGGGUGGCACCCUGUCGCCUGCUCUCCUGUCUCCUUUGCAAGGGGACACCCCAGCUGGAGACAGGCCACCCCUCUCCUCCCUGGCCUGUGCAGCCAGUUACGGUUUAUGCAUAAAGGCACAGACAGAGAAAGAAACAGAGCAAUGAGAGGAGCUCUGGGCCAACAUGAGCCACACAGUACUGCAGCUGUAUUGGGCAGGUGGCCCCCACAGGCCCCUUGCUCUGACACCACGGCUGGCAAAGGCGUCCCUGCGCCCCUGGGCACCCAUCAGCAUAACAACAGCCCAUCUGCAGGGCACCACUCAGCACCUACAGCAGCACCAGGACUCUCAGUACAGAGAGAUCCCAAACCAAAUUAAUUCUUUCUCUACAUGACGUCUACAUGCACAGUGCAAGCAACAAUCUGUUUAUUGUACAAAUGACACUCAUAGCUGCUUCUUUUCCCUGAGGCUGGACACCUAAACUGCCAUUACUGUCACUGCUAUGAAAAGCAUUGAAUUACCUACAGGUAUGUGCCAUUUACAAAGCAGAGGCGGCAGACAUGAGGCACAUUUGGAUGCCUUAAUUAACUUGAAGAAUUAUGAAGCCAUGCCUGUAACUGAACUAUAGUCUUGCCUUCUGUAAACCGUUUGACAUAAGAAUGAUGAGUAUAAGAAUUAGAUGUAGGAAUACAUCUAAAUAUUUAUACUACAUUCAUUACACCAGUAUCUGAGCACAUGUUUAUGUUGUAAGCUCCACUUUUACAUCCGUUCAUUUUGCUUUGCUGUGUAACCCCAGGUUAGCCACUGCUCAGUGCCACGGUGCCUUUCUUCGGGCACUGACUUGGUUCUGGGAUGAUUCAGGGUAAAGCUCUUUCUCUGGGCAAUGCAUUUCCAUUCUCUUGGUGCAAGACUUGCUGAGGCUUCAAAACCAGGACCAAGGUUUGACCAGACUUCUGACCUAAACCAGGCUGGCAACCCCUACCCCAACAAACCGAACCUCCUCACGUCGUAUUUCAAAGUCCUCUGACGCAGGGCAAGGAAAUGCUGUGGCUGGGAUCCAGUAGCUGCUGUCAUCAAAAUGCUGACAGAAACAGAGGUUAAGGGUACUAAAUAUUUCACUGUUAACAAAGCCAAUUUAACACGGGUUUUUGAAGACUGGGGAGACGGGGACUCUGCCAGCACUGAUACUGAAAUACACACAAAGCUCUGAAACUAAUUUUGAGUAAGGUUUUAGAAAUCUUCCCAUUAGAUGAAAUAAUUGUGCAUUUUGAUCAAAUGUUUUCCUCUGUCUUUAAUGCUUGUUCUUGUUUAAAAUGUUAACCAGUAAAAUGAAUAAAAUUAAUUUUUGGGGAGCAAAGUCAACAUAUUUGAUUUUGAAAAGUUCAGGACAGGGUUUCUUGUGCCUUGGCAUUUUGUUCCUAAAAUAAAUUUGCUAAUAAAUUGUUAUCCAGAAUUAUCCAUCUAAUUCUACAAUUAUUAUAGCAAAAAGCAAUCUUAGCAAUUAUACACUCUCUCACACACAGGAAUUUACCUUUUUUUGCCCACGGAACAGAGUUGCAAGUGCUGCAGGCAGAAUUUUUGACCAAAGGGCCAUUUUGUUUAGCAAGCUAAAUGGUUGGACAGGGUAUUUCUAAUUUUUUCUACUAGACACAAUGACCCUGUCCCCUUUCCUCAUUCCAGAAGAUCUCUUGAAGUCAGCAUCUUCAGGGAGGUGGUCCCAGCAGAGGCUUUCCCCCAACCACCUUGAUUCUACAUUUCCAGCCCAUCUUCUAGCACUCCAGGCAACAGACACAGUGUCAUCACAGGCUCAAUGACUGACGGCUCCCUCCAUGAAGCUCAGUCAUUUAGCAUUGUCACUUUGUUUCUACAAAGCUGUUCUGUCGUUUCCGUGACUGCCCUUCUUUCCCCUCCACGCACACGAUUUCCCCAGUCAGUGCCCUAAGCCGAGCUCUGAAAUGUAGCAGCUCCCUUGCCGUCCUCCUUGAAAAAUGAGUUUUGCUUUGUAAGGGAAAAUUCUGUUUUGCCAGCAAGGUGAAGAGCAGGAAUGCCAUCCUGGUCUCUGCAGCCACAUCUCCAGGGGAGUGGGUGGGAGGUGUUGGCCACUGCUGGCGGCAGAGCCUGGGAGAGCCAAUUUAGGUGGGACAGGGAUUUGCCCCCUGGACACGCGCUGGCAGGUGGCUGCUGGGGAGCCCAGGCUCCUUGCUAAGGGCCAUUUGCAUUACAGGAAUGCCUCUCACCUCCAUCUCUGUCUCUCACAGCAGUUUUGAUUACCGGGAUUCAGCCCCAGACUGUUUCAUCCUAUUCCUGCUUCAUCCACCUGCUAUUAUCUCCCGCCGUUCUUGAGAAAUUACUGCCAAAUUAUGCUGGUCUCUCUUUUUUUCCUCCCCAUCAUUAAUUUCUUUUCUAGGGUGGAGAGCUUCCCAGAUCACCCUCCACCCACUUACACACAUGCAUGCACACACACACACACUUUAUAGAAAGUGUUUACUUAUGCGGGGGCAAUAGUUUAAAAGGUAAAUGAAAUAGAGGACGCAGCCUGGAUUGGCUUAGCAACACAAACAGUGCCAGCAGGUAAAGGGCCCAGGCCUGUUCUUUCCCACCUCAGAAUUGUUUUAAAAUGACACCCCUUCAUAAUUAAUUGUACAGCACCUGAUUAGUCACUAUUGACAGACCUAGAGCCAAUUGACUUUUUUCUCUUCUUUUUUAUUUUUUUUUUUUCAUCUGGCUGGGUAGAAAAUAUGAAGUGCCUGUAGCCACACACACAAUAUACCUUCUGGUGAUUACAUCAGGCAGCUGAGCAAUUAGAGCUCGUAGGAUCAGCUCAGGAGCUGGAGGCUACAGCAGCAGGAUCACAGCCCAACCUUACCCUUUAAUAUGAAAAUGAAGAAGGGAAGCAACAAAUUCAAUAAACCCUAAAAGUCAAACAAAGCCAACUGGGAGCUCAUUUUUGAUAAGCUGAAGGAAGAAAUGGAGCUGAUAAAGCCGUGUGCUUCUUCUACUGCUCUGGUCUCUCUCCUGCAUGAGGAGGAUUAAAUUAGCCAGGAGGCAGACCUAAGUGAGAAGGCAACCCCAGUGGCAGAAAAUGUGUGUGUGGUUCAUCAGCAAUGGAGUUGGGUCAGAAGGGGUGGGUUUGUACCCCUUUCCACUUCCAGGCAUCUGUGAGCACUUUGCAAAGCAAAUGAGUUUGCUGUGGGACAGGGCAAGGACACAUCCUACCAGGGGAAGCUACAGGCAGCCUUCGCUCACCUUGAUCUAAAACACCAUUAUCUUACUUGAAACUUUGGAAAAACAAAGUCAGUCUCCACCACCAGGAAUGCAGUUGAGGUCCUCCAUCUCCAGAUCUCCAGCAGCCCAAUUCCAGACCUGCUGCUUCCACGCACUCCAGUCAGCCUGGUAUCAGCUCAGCCCAGCCAUUGUACAACCCAGUAAAGCCGAGUCCUGCCCCUGUGCAAACACUUUACUCCCAAAGAAGAGGAUCUGUACAAGACCUCAGCCAACUUCAGAGUACUUCUGAGUGAGGUAUUAAGCCAAUAUCAGUGUCUACACAGGCGUUUGCUCCAGAGUGAGUUAAUCAGUUUAAACCCAUACCUUUGGGUAAAUACUUGUGUGCAGGCAGACAAUGACUUGGGAUUUGACCAAAGCGCGGUGAAUACAAUGUGAAUGAA
Motacilla alba alba is the source of this 5196-nucleotide long non-coding RNA. RefSeq lists it as uncharacterized. Lineage: Eukaryota; Metazoa; Chordata; Aves; Passeriformes; Motacillidae. The record is from RefSeq and is a predicted model, not a curated record. The transcript has 6 exons.